RNAcentral lists this transfer RNA (75 nucleotides) under Candidatus Sungbacteria bacterium RIFCSPHIGHO2_02_FULL_49_12. RNAcentral describes it as "tRNA-Val". It matches the Rfam family "tRNA". Rfam says of the family: Transfer RNA (tRNA) molecules are approximately 80 nucleotides in length. Their secondary structure includes four short double-helical elements and three loops (D, anti-codon, and T loops). The record is from RNAcentral. Lineage: Bacteria; Candidatus Sungiibacteriota.
GCGUCUUUAGCUCAGUGGUAGAGCGUUCGAUUCACAUUCGAAAGGUCGUAGGUCCGAUCCCUACAAGACGCACCA